This 848-nucleotide ribosomal RNA is filed under the name uncultured bacterium. RNAcentral describes it as "bacterial SSU rRNA". It matches the Rfam family "Bacterial small subunit ribosomal RNA", at positions 28 to 864 of the family's 1533-position model. The record is from RNAcentral.
AUUGAACGCUGGCGGCAUGCCUAACACAUGCAAGUCGAACGGAAACGAUGCUAGCUUGCUAGCAGGCGUCGAGUGGCGGACGGGUGAGUAAUGUAUAGGGAUCUGCCUAGUAGUGGGGGACAACAUGUGGAAACGCAUGCUAAUACCGCAUACGCUCUACGGAGGAAAGUGGGGGACCUUUCGGGGCCUCAUGCUACUAGAUGAACCUAUAUUGGAUUAGCUUGUUGGUAAGGUAAUGGCUUACCAAGGCGACGAUCCAUAGCUGGUUUGAGAGAAUGAUCAGCCACACUGGGACUGAGACACGGCCCAGACUCCUACGGGAGGCAGCAGUGGGGAAUAUUGCACAAUGGACGAAAGUCUGAUGCAGCAAUGCCGCGUGUGUGAAGAAGGCCUUAGGGUUGUAAAGCACUUUCAGACGUGAGGAAAAGUAAUAAUUUAAUAAAUUAUUACCUUGACGUUAACGUCAGAAGAAGGACCGGCUAACUCCGUGCCAGCAGCCGCGGUAAUACGGAGGGUCCAAGCGUUAAUCGGAAUUACUGGGCGUAAAGCGCGCGUAGGCGGAUAUUUAAGUCAGAUGUGAAAUCCCUGGGCUCAACCUAGGAACUGCAUUUGAUACUGGAUAUCUAGAGUAUGGUAGAGGUGAGUGGAAUUUCAGGUGUAGCGGUGAAAUGCGUAGAGAUCUGAAGGAACAUCAGUGGCGAAGGCGACUCACUGGGCCAUUACUGACGCUGAGGUGCGAAAGCGUGGGUAGCAAACAGGAUUAGAUACCCUGGUAGUCCACGCCCUAAACGAUGUCAACUAGUUGUAUGGGGAGUUUAACUCCUGUGUAUCGAAGCUAACGCGAUAAG